RNAcentral lists this transfer RNA (74 nucleotides) under Paenibacillus sp. Soil766. Its description in RNAcentral is "tRNA-Gln". It matches the Rfam family "tRNA". Rfam says of the family: Transfer RNA (tRNA) molecules are approximately 80 nucleotides in length. The record is from RNAcentral. Lineage: Bacteria; Bacillati; Bacillota; Bacilli; Caryophanales; Paenibacillaceae.
AGGAGCUUCGCCAAGUGGUAAGGCAGCGGCCUUUGACGCCGAUAUCGUUGGUUCGACCCCAGCAGCUCCUGCCA